This 458-nucleotide long non-coding RNA is filed under the name Heterocephalus glaber (naked mole-rat). Its description in RNAcentral is "lncRNA (ENSHGLG00100046657.1)". Lineage: Eukaryota; Metazoa; Chordata; Mammalia; Rodentia; Bathyergidae. The record is from RNAcentral.
CCGAACUGGGGAGUCACAGCUCAAUGUGGGCAGAGGCGGUCGGAGCUCAUGCCAGGACGAGGCCCAAUAUAGCAGCCUCAGAGCUGGCCCUGAAGUCGGCCUGUCAUUACCCAGGGGUCUCACUAUGUGACCCAGGCUGGGCUCAAACUCAUGGUAAUCCUCCUGCCUCCGCCUCCUGAGUGCUGAGAUUACAGUAACGGUGAUGCUGCUGCCAAGCACUGGAGGCCACGUUCCCGUGUUCCUGGCCUCUUUGGCUCUAACACCGUAGCCCUGAGCAAGUGAGUCACCUCCGUGAGGACCAUGUGCAGAGCCUGUCCCUGUCGCCGGAGCCAGGGUUCACUCGGAACUUGAACAAGCCCUGUCCCCUCACGUGACGCCAUCCAGGCAAGCCAGCAGGGCCAAGUGCCCCAAGGGGACUUCACACCCAACAGCAGCCUCCCCUUGCCCCCAGGCCCCGU